AUGAUACAAACAAACGUUCCUAUUAGGGAUCCGACAUGAGGCUAUGUUAUUCUAGGUUUAAAUCCUGGGGGAGUGUUUUAGACCUGGCUUACCCAGGCGGACAGCUCGAGCCGAGGUGAGGGUAACGUACCGGGAGCACGAAAGUCUACCCGGCCUAGUUACUUGUCCCAGCCUCGUUCUAAUUGGUAUGACUUCUAACAGAAAAGUGGGCCACGCGCACGUGUGCACC
RNAcentral lists this long non-coding RNA (229 nucleotides) under Nicotiana benthamiana. RNAcentral describes it as "long non-coding RNA (NBEN_LNC003565)". Lineage: Eukaryota; Viridiplantae; Streptophyta; Magnoliopsida; Solanales; Solanaceae. The record is from RNAcentral.